This 493-nucleotide ribosomal RNA is filed under the name Delectopecten vitreus. RNAcentral's name for it is "partial 16S ribosomal RNA". It matches the Rfam family "Bacterial large subunit ribosomal RNA", at positions 1819 to 2590 of the family's 2925-position model. The record is from RNAcentral. Lineage: Eukaryota; Metazoa; Mollusca; Bivalvia; Pectinida; Pectinidae.
CGCUCUUUGAGUCAAAGAAGAGUCGGACCUUCCCGGUGAGUGAACGCACUUAAACGGACGUGGUAAAUUGUGUUAAUGUAGCUAAAUUAUGAUCCAGUAAUUUUGGAUUCUGUGAAUGGAUUGACGAGUCUCCUACUGUCUCUAGUUUGCUGUAGAGAAGUUGAAUUGAAGGUGCAAGUGCCUUCAUGGGGAAGAAAGACGAGAAGACCCCGUGAAGUUAGAAAUGUGGGUAGCUUUUAGUUAAAUAGAAUUUUGGUUGGACGUUUUAGCUGGGGCAGCAAGGGGGCAAGACUAGACUCCACUAACCUUACAAAUAGGUGUAUAAGGAUCCAAUAAAUUGUUGGGGCUUGAUUAGUAGAAGGAGUUACUCCGGGGAUAACAGCGUAAUCUGCCUUGAGAGUUCUUAUUGGUGGGCAGGUUUGCGACCUCGAUGUUGGCUCAGGGUAUCCUUAAACUUGCAGGAGGUUUAGAGGGUUGGUUUGUUCGACCAGUU